AGAAUCAACGCUGGCGGCGUGCCUAACACAUGCAAGUCGAACGAGAAAGUGGAGCAAUCCAUGAGUAAAGUGGCGCACGGGUGAGUAACACGUGACUAACCUACCCUUGAGUGGGGGAUAAACCUAGAGAAAUCUGGGCUAAUACCGCAUAAUACCUUCGGGUCAAAGGAGCAAUUCGCUUAAGGAGGGGGUCGCGGCCGAUUAGUUAGUUGGCGGGGUAAUGGCCCACCAAGACUAUGAUCGGUAUCCGGCCUGAGAGGGCGCACGGACACACUGGAACUGAAACACGGUCCAGACUCCUACGGGAGGCAGCAGUGGGGAAUUUUGCGCAAUGGGGGAAACCCUGACGCAGCAACGCCGCGUGGAGGAUGAAGUCCCUUGGGACGUAAACUCCUUUCGAUCGGGACGAUAAUGACGGUACCGAGAGAAGAAGCCCGGCUAACUUCGUGCCAGCAGCCGC
RNAcentral lists this ribosomal RNA (460 nucleotides) under uncultured bacterium. RNAcentral's name for it is "SSU rRNA". It matches the Rfam family "Bacterial small subunit ribosomal RNA", at positions 26 to 518 of the family's 1533-position model. The record is from RNAcentral.